GACUAUCUUUGGCGCGUCUGCUAAAUAGGUUAAUAACCCUCUGAUGCUGAGUGAGCUUCUCUUUCAUUAUGACCAGGGGCGGACUUACCAUAGACAGCACCAGGACAUUUCACGUUGACCUAAUGGUCAAUCUGGAGUGCCACCGUGAAUCUGGACCAAUCGCCCACCACCAAGCGUAAAAGGCAGUCCAUUGAGUCCUGAGUGUCUUCUGGAUGGACCUGAUUGGGGUCAGCAGAUCCUCCACUGUGAACAUCUGGAGGGCCCUGAUCCGCAUCAGCAGAUCCUCCACUGGGAACAUAUGGAGGAACCUGAUCCACACUGGCAGAUCCUCCACUAGGAACGUCUGGAGUGACCUGAUCCACACCAGCAGAUCCUCCACGAGGUACGUCAGGAGGGACCUGAUCCACACCAGCAGAUCCUCCACAAGGUACGUCAGGAGGGACCUGUUCCACACCAGCAGAUCCUCCACGAGGUACAUCUGGAGGGACCUGUUUCACACUGGCAGGUUCCACGUGGAGGACGCUUCCACAGAUGUGCCUGAGUUUUAAUUGAAGUGGGAGCUGGUUUGCCAGCUCCUCAAUAGUGCCUGCAUAGAAAUGUACAGGCACUAUGUACUCAUCCAUAUGGCUAUCCAGGAGGAUGAGCUUGUCGUGCAUCUCUGACACUCCAACGAUCUUUAGAACUGCCUCCUGGAUAUCCCUAUCAAUAAGCUGAAAAACAAAAAAAAUUUUAGAAAAGGUGACUGAGCUCAAUGAUGUCCCCGACAUAGAGCUCGUUAAGUGCUUCUUCCCGCCACAGUGAGACAUCAUGUACUACGGAGCCACAUUUCAUCCGCAGGUCCAGGAUCGGUAUGUGAGUGCGAGUCAUUCUAGGCGCUUCAACCUGGAAAAUGACAAAAAGGUCGUGAAUGAGGACAGAGGGCCUCCCUUGCAGCUCUUUUAGCCUCCUCACUUAUGGCUAGCGGAGCCGUCCUAAAUUUGAUGGUGCCUUUAUUUACAAAUAAACAUCGGCGGCCGUAUUUGUUUGAGAUGGUUACAUUUUUUACAAUAUAUGAGUGUCCCUCUUCAAAUUCAGGGUCACUGCCGUUUUUUAUGGACAGAUAAACUGCAUCACCAUCCGUAAGGGCACAUAAAGAUGUGACUUUGUAGGUGUCAACAAUUAUUUUGUUUUCAUGUUUAAUAAAUGUCAAAGCCUUUUGGCUACUGUGCACUUUAACACAGGUGAUGUGCAGUGGUGGUGGGCGGCUGUACGGUGUUGCCAUCCUAAGAAUAAGAAAAAAAGGUUACUUUGUAUUAGUUGUAAAUAUUAUGUAGAAUAAAUUAUAAUUUCUUUUUAACUCAAUUCAUCAAUUAAACAUAUCAAUCUAAAUCUG
RNAcentral lists this long non-coding RNA (1372 nucleotides) under Danio rerio (zebrafish). RNAcentral's name for it is "si:ch211-170n20.4 (ENSDARG00000096903.2)". The record is from RNAcentral. Lineage: Eukaryota; Metazoa; Chordata; Actinopteri; Cypriniformes; Danionidae.